This 210-nucleotide ribosomal RNA is filed under the name uncultured bacterium. RNAcentral describes it as "partial 16S ribosomal RNA". It matches the Rfam family "Bacterial small subunit ribosomal RNA", at positions 1292 to 1500 of the family's 1533-position model. The record is from RNAcentral.
UUCGGAUUGUAGUCUGCAACUCGACUACAUGAAGCUGGAAUCGCUAGUAAUCGCGAAUCAGAAUGUCGCGGUGAAUACGUUCCCGGGUCUUGUACACACCGCCCGUCACACCAUGGGAGUCGGUAACGCCCGAAGUCAGUGACCCAACCAAUCCGGAGGGAGCUGCCGAAGGCGGGAUCGGUAACUGGGGUGAAGUCGUAACAAGGUAAC